Molecule: ribosomal RNA, 465 nt
Filed under: uncultured bacterium
Lineage: Bacteria
Description: bacterial SSU rRNA
Rfam family: Bacterial small subunit ribosomal RNA
Source: RNAcentral
CCUACGGGGGGCUGCAGUGGGGAAUAUUGGACAAUGGGCGCAAGCCUGAUCCAGCCAUGCCGCGUGGGUGAAGAAGGCCUUCGGGUUGUAAAGCCCUUUUGUCCGGAAAGAAAAGCACUGGAUUAAUACUUCGGUGUUCUGACGGUACCGGAAGAAUAAGCACCGGCUAACUUCGUGCCAGCAGCCGCGGUAAUACGAAGGGUGCAAGCGUUACUCGGAAUUACUGGGCGUAAAGCGUGCGUAGGUGGUUCGUUAAGUCUGAUGUGAAAGCCCUGGGCUCAACCUGGGAAUUGCAUUGGAUACUGGCGGGCUAGAGUGCGGUAGAGGAUGGCGGAAUUCCCGGUGUAGCAGUGAAAUGCGUAGAGAUCGGGAGGAACAUCUGUGGCGAAGGCGGCCAUCUGGACCAGCACUGACACUGAGGCACGAAAGCGUGGGGAGCAAACAGGAUUAGAUACCCGGGUAGUC